This is a non-coding RNA of Camelina sativa (false flax), 103 nucleotides long. NCBI's taxonomy places the organism in Eukaryota, Viridiplantae, Streptophyta, Magnoliopsida, Brassicales, Brassicaceae. The record is from RefSeq and is a predicted model, not a curated record.
UUGUUCAUCUCAAACCAUUCAGUUUUCGUUCAUGUAUAUCGAAUGCAAAAAUUCGCCAAGUAGCUUCACAUGCAGAGAGGAGUGCGAGAUUAUGAGGCACAAC